RNAcentral lists this ribosomal RNA (254 nucleotides) under uncultured bacterium. RNAcentral describes it as "partial 16S ribosomal RNA". It matches the Rfam family "Bacterial small subunit ribosomal RNA", at positions 524 to 776 of the family's 1533-position model. The record is from RNAcentral.
UACGUAGGGGGCAAGCGUUAUCCGGAUUUAUUGGGCGUAAAGAGCUCGUAGGCGGCCGUUCGCGUCGGAUGUGAAAGCUCAGGCUCAACCCUGAGACGCCAUUCGAUACGGGACGGCUAAGAGGUAGGUAGGGGAAAGUGGAAUUCCGUGGUGUAGCGGUGAAAUGCGCAGAUAUCAGGAGGAACACCAAUUGCGAAGGCAGCUCGCUGGGACGUUACUGACGCUGAGACGCGAAAGCGUGGGGAGCAAACAGG